GUUGAACCCAGCUGUGGCCAGGAUGAAAAAUUGUUAUGAUUAAAGCCCGCUGCCUUGAGACCCUACAAACAGUGGUCCAAAAUGAGACCCUUGCAGCUCUCCUGGGCUGCAGCUGGCUGUGACCAGCAACUGACUGGGGCCUCUCAGAGCCAGGGAAUUCCCAUGUUUGCUGUGCUUGGAGGAUCGCUGAGUGCUGAUGACUCCUGGGCUGAUACCCUUACUCCAAAGUAAUCCUAAUGAAAUUUCAACUAAAUCCAGACUAAGACAACUUCAAAUUGCCUAUGUGAGGUGUAAAGCAUCUUGCUGAAGUGACAGAAAGUUCUGCCUCUGGAAGUUCUGCUUCCCCAUGAUACAAUUACUCUUCUGAAGAAGAUGAGAUGUGUUUCAACGUGGAGGAAAUUGAGUGGAAAUCAGGAAUCUGGAGUUCUUUCAGAACCCUGCCACUAUCCAACUUGUCAUCUUGAUGUUACCCUGAAAUAAAAACUUUACAUAAGAAAGAGGUGGAAUAGAGAUGUUUUUAUUCCACAUAGUCUUGUAAAUGCUUUCUUUUAUACCUUUUUCCCUCCUACCACAUUUGCCAUAUCUUUAGCUGGAAAGUGGAGUUCUGCUCCUUCACAUUGUAAGUCUCGAUUUGUUCAAAGCAAUAUGGUAGUGCUUAAAUAUAUCUAUAGCCUUCAGCUUAUGUAAAAUACCCAGAACAGA
Molecule: long non-coding RNA, 702 nt
Organism: Motacilla alba alba
Lineage: Eukaryota; Metazoa; Chordata; Aves; Passeriformes; Motacillidae
Exons: 3
Source: RefSeq, a predicted model, not a curated record